ACAGUCAGAGCGAACAGAAGGGAGCUUGCUCCCGGAUGUUAGCGGCGGACGGGUGAGUAACACGUGGGUAACCUGCCUGUAAGACUGGGAUAACUCCGGGAAACCGGAGCUAAUACCGGAUAGUUCCUUGAACCGCAUGGUUCAAGGAUGAAAGACGGUUUCGGCUGUCACUUACAGAUGGACCCGCGGCGCAUUAGCUAGUUGGUGGGGUAAUGGCUCACCAAGGCGACGAUGCGUAGCCGACCUGAGAGGGUGAUCGGCCACACUGGGACUGAGACACGGCCCAGACUCCUACGGGAGGCAGCAGUAGGGAAUCUUCCGCAAUGGACGAAAGUCUGACGGAGCAACGCCGCGUGAGUGAUGAAGGUUUUCGGAUCGUAAAGCUCUGUUGUUAGGGAAGAACAAGUGCGAGAGUAACUGCUCGCACCUUGACGGUACCUAACCAGAAAGCCACGGCUAACUACGUGCCAGCAGCCGCGGUAAUACGUAGGUGGCAAGCGUUGUCCGGAAUUAUUGGGCGUAAAGGGCUCGCAGGCGGUUUCUUAAGUCUGAUGUGAAAGCCCCCGGCUCAACCGGGGAGGGUCAUUGGAGACUGGGAAA
Molecule: ribosomal RNA, 600 nt
Filed under: Bacillus sp. (in: firmicutes)
Lineage: Bacteria; Bacillati; Bacillota; Bacilli; Caryophanales; Bacillaceae
Description: bacterial SSU rRNA
Rfam family: Bacterial small subunit ribosomal RNA
Source: RNAcentral